AGCGGCAGACGGGUGAGUAACGCGUGGGAAUCUACCUUGAGCUACGGGAUAACAGAGAGAAAUUUCUGCUAAUACCGUAUGUGGCCUUUGGGCGAAAGAUUUAUCGGCUUAAGAUGAGCCCGCGUUGGAUUAGCUGGUUGGUGGGGUAAAGGCCUACCAAGGCGACGAUCCAUAGCUGGUCUGAGAGGAUGAUCAGCCACACUGGGACUGAGACAUGGCCCAGACUCCUACGGGAGGCAGCAGUGGGGAAUAUUGGACAAUGGGCGCAAGCCUGAUCCAGCCAUGCCGCGUGAGUGAAGAAGGCCUUAGGGUUGUAAAGCUCUUUCACCGGUGAAGAUAAUGACGGUAGCCGGAGAAGAAGCCCCGGCUAACUUCGUGCCAGCAGCCGCGGUAAUACGAAGGGGGCUAGCGUUGUUCGGAUUUACUGGGCGUAAAGCGCGCGUAGGCGGAUAGAUAAGUCAGAGGUGAAAUCCCGGGGCUCAACCCCGGAAUUGCCUUUGAUACUGUUUAUCUUGAGUGCAGAAGAGGUAAGUGGAAUUCCGAGUGUAGAGGUGAAAUUCGUAGAUAUUCGGAGGAACACCAGUGGCGAAGGCGGCUUACUGGUCUGCAACUGACGCUGAGGCGCGAAAGCGUGGGGAGCAAACAGGAUUAGAUACCCUGGUAGUCCACGCUGUAAACGAUGGAAGCCAGCCGUCGGCAAAUUUAUUUGUCGGUGGCGCAGCUAACGCAUUAAGCUUCCCGCCUGGGGAGUACGGUCGCAAGAUUAAAACUCAAAGGAAUUGACGGGGGNCCGCACAAGCGGUGGANCAUGUGGUUUAAUU
Molecule: ribosomal RNA, 821 nt
Filed under: uncultured Hyphomicrobiales bacterium
Lineage: Bacteria; Pseudomonadati; Pseudomonadota; Alphaproteobacteria; Hyphomicrobiales
Description: bacterial SSU rRNA
Rfam family: Bacterial small subunit ribosomal RNA
Source: RNAcentral